AGUGAACGCUGGCGGUAGGCCUAACACAUGCAAGUCGAACGGCAGCACAGUAAGAGCUUGCUCUUACGGGUGGCGAGUGGCGGACGGGUGAGGAAUACAUCGGAAUCUACUUUUUCGUGGGGGAUAACGUAGGGAAACUUACGCUAAUACCGCAUACGACCUACGGGUGAAAGCAGGGGAUCUUCGGACCUUGCGCGAUUGAAUGAGCCGAUGUCGGAUUAGCUAGUUGGCGGGGUAGAGGCCCACCAAGGCGACGAUCCGUAGCUGGUCUGAGAGGAUGAUCAGCCACACUGGAACUGAGACACGGUCCAGACUCCUACGGGAGGCAGCAGUGGGGAAUAUUGGACAAUGGGCGCAAGCCUGGUCCAGCCAUACCGCGUGGGUGAAGAAGGCCUUCGGGUUGUAAAGCCCUUUUGUUGGGAAAGAAAAGCAGCAGGUUAAUACCCCGCUGUUCUGACGGUACCCAAAGAAUAAGCACCGGCUAACUUCGUG
This 492-nucleotide ribosomal RNA is filed under the name uncultured bacterium. RNAcentral's name for it is "partial 16S ribosomal RNA". It matches the Rfam family "Bacterial small subunit ribosomal RNA", at positions 29 to 507 of the family's 1533-position model. The record is from RNAcentral.